GUGAGGAAUAUUGGUCAAUGGGCGAGAGCCUGAACCAGCCAAGUCGCGUGAAGGAAGAAGGAUCUAUGGUUCGUAAACUUCUUUUGCAGGGGAAUAAAGUGCAGGACGUGUCCUGUUUUGUAUGUACCCUGAGAAUAAGGAUCGGCUAACUCCGUGCCAGCAGCCGCGGUAAUACGGAGGAUCCGAGCGUUAUCCGGAUUUAUUGGGUUUAAAGGGUGCGCAGGCGGGUUGAUAAGUCAGCGGUGAAAGUUUGCAGCUUAACUGUAAAAUUGCCGUUGAAACUGUCGAUCUUGAGUGCAAAUGAGGUAAGCGGAAUGUGUUGUGUAGCGGUGAAAUGCUUAGAUAUAACACAGAACACCGAUUGCGAAGGCAGCUUACUGGGAUGCAACUGACGCUCAUGCACGAAAGCGUGGGGAUCAAACAGGAUUAGAUACCCUGGUAGUCC
Molecule: ribosomal RNA, 445 nt
Filed under: uncultured bacterium
Lineage: Bacteria
Description: partial 16S ribosomal RNA
Rfam family: Bacterial small subunit ribosomal RNA
Source: RNAcentral